Molecule: ribosomal RNA, 253 nt
Filed under: uncultured bacterium
Lineage: Bacteria
Description: partial 16S ribosomal RNA
Rfam family: Bacterial small subunit ribosomal RNA
Source: RNAcentral
GACGGAAGGUGCAAGCGUUGCUCGGAAUUACUGGGCGUAAAGGGCGCGUAGGCGGCCGAUCAAGUCAGGCGUGAAAUUCCCGGGCUCAACCUGGGGGCUGCGCUUGAUACUGAUUGGCUUGAAUGCGGGAGAGGAUAGUGGAAUUCCCAGUGUAGAGGUGAAAUUCGUAGAUAUUGGGAAGAACACCGGUGGCGAAGGCGGCUAUCUGGCCCGUAAUUGACGCUGAGGCGCGAAAGCGUGGGGAGCAAACAGG